RNAcentral lists this ribosomal RNA (498 nucleotides) under uncultured bacterium. RNAcentral describes it as "partial 16S ribosomal RNA". It matches the Rfam family "Bacterial small subunit ribosomal RNA", at positions 28 to 507 of the family's 1533-position model. The record is from RNAcentral.
GACGAACGCUGGCGGCGUGCCUAAUACAUGCAAGUCGAACGAGAGCGACCGGUGCUUGCACUGGUCAAUCUAGUGGCGAACGGGUGAGUAACACGUGGGUAACCUGCCCAUCAGAGGGGGAUAACAUCCGGAAACGGAUGCUAAAACCGCAUAGGUCUUCGAACCGCAUGGUUUGAAGAGGAAAAGAGGCGCAAGCUUCUGCUGAUGGAUGGACCCGCGGUGCAUUAGCUAGUUGGUGAGGUAACGGCUCACCAAGGCCGUGAUGCAUAGCCGACCUGAGAGGGUGAUCGGCCACAUUGGGACUGAGACACAGCCCAAACUCCUACGGGAGGCAGCAGUAGGGAAUCUUCCGCAAUGGACGCAAGUCUGACGGAGCAACGCCGCGUGAGUGAAGAAGGUGUUCGGAUCGUAAAACUCUGUUGUUAGAGAAGAACAAGUGCUAGAGUAACUGUUAGCGCCUUGACGGUAUCUAACCAGAAAGCCACGGCUAACUACGUG